RNAcentral lists this unclassified non-coding RNA (230 nucleotides) under Hevea brasiliensis (rubber tree). The record is from RNAcentral. Lineage: Eukaryota; Viridiplantae; Streptophyta; Magnoliopsida; Malpighiales; Euphorbiaceae.
AAAAAAAGCUACAGCCGAGCAUAGCACCACAUGAACAAAGAGUUCAUAAAAAGUUGCACAUGUUAUUGGAUUAUUUCUGCUCAACAAACUAAAUAUUGCAGAUCCAUGCAUACAAAAACUUUCAUCGCAUCAUAGGGUAAGGAAGCACAGUUUCAGCGUAAGAUGCAUGGUAUCAAAAUUAAUGUAUUUGUUUGAUAUGCAGGAAAAAUCAUAAAGUAAACCAAAUGCCG